AUGGACAAUGUUGGAGAACCACCACCCUGCCCCUGCACAACUGGUCCUCCAUGGAGGGUGAAGGUUGCUGGUCAGUGGUCACGGCCAGUCCUUGUAGAUGACUGGCCUGGGUAAAUCCCUCCCAUUGACCUGCCAACAGCACUCAAGUCUCAACUA
Long non-coding RNA from Phyllostomus discolor (pale spear-nosed bat), 156 nucleotides. RefSeq lists it as uncharacterized. Lineage: Eukaryota; Metazoa; Chordata; Mammalia; Chiroptera; Phyllostomidae. The record is from RefSeq and is a predicted model, not a curated record. The transcript has 3 exons.